GCUUAUAUAGCUCAAUUUGGUAGAGCAAUAAACUGUUAAUUUAAAGGUUAUUGGUUCAAGUCCAAUUUUAAGCG
This 74-nucleotide transfer RNA is filed under the name Rhizaria sp. Its description in RNAcentral is "tRNA-Asn". It matches the Rfam family "tRNA". Rfam says of the family: Transfer RNA (tRNA) molecules are approximately 80 nucleotides in length. Their secondary structure includes four short double-helical elements and three loops (D, anti-codon, and T loops). Further hydrogen bonds mediate the characteristic L-shaped molecular structure. tRNAs have two regions of fundamental functional importance: the anti-codon, which is responsible for specific mRNA codon recognition, and the 3' end, to which the tRNAs corresponding amino acid is attached (by aminoacyl-tRNA synthetases). tRNAs cope with the degeneracy of the genetic code in two manners: having more than one tRNA (with a specific anti-codon) for a particular amino acid; and 'wobble' base-pairing, i.e. permitting non-standard base-pairing at the 3rd anti-codon position. The record is from RNAcentral.